CUUGCCUAUUUCGGGUCUUCAGCACAAGUCUACAGGGGUUACAACUGAAUGCCAAGUUAACGCCAAUUACGAACGGACCUAAUAGUGACAAGAAGAUUCGCCGGGAUUACAUCACCGUGCUAACAAUAGCUGGGAAUGCUCGGGAUAAGCGUGAACAGUUGCUUCUGCCAUUUCAACCAGUGAGAGCUUCUUUGGCCCACCUGUCCGGUUGUCUGAUCAGGGGGCAUCUGGAGACUGGAGGCUGCCAGAGAGCUGACAGACUUGCACCCAGAUUAAGAUGCUUCUGAUGGAGUCCGCCAGGAGGAACAGCAGGCACCAUUCAUCCUGGUGCAAAACAGCAGAUCGGGCCAGUAUUCGAGGGAUGAAUCCCAAAUGGCGAUGUGUGGUGGUCCAA
Long non-coding RNA from Pygocentrus nattereri (red-bellied piranha), 394 nucleotides. RefSeq lists it as uncharacterized. Lineage: Eukaryota; Metazoa; Chordata; Actinopteri; Characiformes; Serrasalmidae. The transcript is spliced from 3 exons. The record is from RefSeq and is a predicted model, not a curated record.